This 272-nucleotide ribosomal RNA is filed under the name uncultured bacterium. RNAcentral's name for it is "partial 16S ribosomal RNA". It matches the Rfam family "Bacterial small subunit ribosomal RNA", at positions 524 to 794 of the family's 1533-position model. The record is from RNAcentral.
UACGAAGGGUGCAAGCGUUAAUCGGAAUUACUGGGCGUAAAGCGCGCGUAGGUGGUUUUGUAAGUUGGAGGUGAAAUCCCCCGGGCUCAACCUGGGAACUGCCUCCAAAGCUGCAUGACUAGAGUACGGUAGAGGGUGGUGGAAUUUCCUGUGUAGCGGUGAAAUGCGUAGAUAUAGGAAGGAACACCAGUGGCGAAGGCGACCACCUGGACUGAUACUGACACUGAGGUGCGAAAGCGUGGGGAGCAAACAGGAUUAGAUACCCGCGUAGU